GAUGAACGCUGGCGGCGUGCCUAAUACAUGCAAGUCGAGCGAACUUUUGGGAGCUUGCUCUCAAAAGUUAGCGGCGGACGGGUGAGUAACACGUGGGCAACCUGCCUAUAAGACUGGGAUAAAUUCGGGAAACCGGAGCUCAUACCGGAUAACAUAUGAUACCACAUUGUCUCAUAUUAAAAGAUGGCUUUUAGCUAUCACUUAUAGAUGGGCCCGCGGCGCAUUAGCUAGUUGGUGAGGUAAUGGCGCACCAAGGCGACGAUGCGUAGCCGACCUCGGCGGGUGAUCGGCCACCCUGGUACUGAGACACGGCCCAGACUCCUACGGGAGGCAGCAGUAGGGAAUCUUCCGCAAUGGACGAAAGUCUGACGGAGCAACGCCGCGUGAGCGAAGAAGGUCUUCGGAUCGUAAAGCUCUGUUGUUAGGGAAGAACAAGUACCGUUCAAAUAGGGCGGUACCUUGACGGUACCUAACCAGAAAGCCACGGCUAACUACGUGCCAGCCGCCGCCGUAA
This 514-nucleotide ribosomal RNA is filed under the name uncultured bacterium. RNAcentral's name for it is "partial 16S ribosomal RNA". It matches the Rfam family "Bacterial small subunit ribosomal RNA", at positions 28 to 523 of the family's 1533-position model. The record is from RNAcentral.